CCCAGACUCCUACGGGAGGCAGCAGUGAGGAAUAUUGGUCAAUGGGCUUACGCCUGAACCAGCCAAGUCGCGUGAGGGAAGACGGUCCUAUGGAUUGUAAACCUCUUUUGUCGGGGAGCAAAAAGGCCUCGUGAGGCCACAAGUGAGAGUACCCGAAGAAAAAGCAUCGGCUAACUCCGUGCCAGCAGCCGCGGUAAUACGGAGGAUGCGAGCGUUAUCCGGAUUUAUUGGGUUUAAAGGGUGCGCAGGCGGAGGUGCAAGUCAGCGGUCAAAUUGCGGGGCUCAACCCCGUACUGCCGUUGAAACUGCAUCCCUUGAGUGCGCGAGAAGUAUGCGGAAUGCGUGGUGUAGCGGUGAAAUGCUUAGAUAUUGCGCAGAACUCCGAUUGCGAAGGCAGCAUACCGGCGGCGAUCUGACGCUGAGGCACGAAAGCGUGGGUAUCGAACAGGAUUAGAUACCCGAGUAGC
RNAcentral lists this ribosomal RNA (467 nucleotides) under uncultured bacterium. RNAcentral describes it as "bacterial SSU rRNA". It matches the Rfam family "Bacterial small subunit ribosomal RNA", at positions 330 to 794 of the family's 1533-position model. The record is from RNAcentral.